This 491-nucleotide ribosomal RNA is filed under the name uncultured bacterium. RNAcentral's name for it is "partial 16S ribosomal RNA". It matches the Rfam family "Bacterial small subunit ribosomal RNA", at positions 29 to 506 of the family's 1533-position model. The record is from RNAcentral.
AGUGAACGCUGGCGGUAGGCCUAACACAUGCAAGUCGAACGGCAGCACAGUAAGAGCUUGCUCUUACGGGUGGCGAGUGGCGGACGGGUGAGGAAUACAUCGGAAUCUACUUUUUCGUGGGGGAUAACGUAGGGAAACUUACGCUAAUACCGCAUACGACCUACGGGUGAAAGCAGGGGAUCUUCGGACCUUGCUCGAUUGAAUGAGCCGAUGUCGGAUUAGCUAGUUGGCGGGGUAAAGGCCCACCAAGGCGACGAUCCGUAGCUGGUCUGAGAGGAUGAUCAGCACCACCGGAACUGAGACGCGGUACAGCAUCCAACGGGAGGCAGCAGUGGGGAAUAUUGGACAAUGGGCGAAAGCCUGAUCCAGCCAUACCGCGUGGGUGAAGAAGGCCUUCGGGUUGUAAAGCCCUUUUGUAGGGAAAGAAAAGCAGCAGGUUAAUACCCCGCUGUUCUGACGGUACCCAAAGAAUAGACACCGGCUAACUUCGU